This 24-nucleotide non-coding RNA is filed under the name Arabidopsis thaliana (thale cress). Lineage: Eukaryota; Viridiplantae; Streptophyta; Magnoliopsida; Brassicales; Brassicaceae. The record is from RNAcentral.
AGUAUGUUACUAACAUAGUCUACA